Molecule: long non-coding RNA, 1035 nt
Filed under: Felis catus (domestic cat)
Lineage: Eukaryota; Metazoa; Chordata; Mammalia; Carnivora; Felidae
Description: lncRNA (ENSFCAG00000052300.1)
Source: RNAcentral
AUGCACCUGUGCACAUCUCAGGUUCGUGUGAACAGGAAUCCGUACACACCCGUACCUCUGUGGGCAGCCAUUCGGUGCAAACACAAGUGUGCGCAUACUCGUGUGAAAAGCAAAUCCUUGAGAUCGUGCACAGAGGAAAACGUGGAAACCCACCGGUUCGUGCAUAUCGGAUGGUGCAAACACAAGUCUACGUAUACUGGGACGAGUGCACUGUCCCGAGGUUGUACACACGUGGAAAGGGGCACACCCCAGGGUUGUGCACACACGAGGUCCUGCAUGCCCCUUGGGCCAACUCUCAGGCCUAGUCCAGAGAAAGUAGAGGCGCCCAUUCGACCCAAACUCGGGCACAGCUGUAGGGUCUGGGCGCCAUCUUCGCCCCGCGAGCAGCGGAAAGAUCUGCAGACCGGGCGGCCCUUGCGCAGGGGCCUUUGUUGUCCCUGCUUCCGGGCGUCCAUCACGCGGAGUCCGCGCGCGCCGGAGCACGAAAUGGCGGUUGGGGGCGGGGCGGGACGGGGCGACCCGGAACAGCGCCCACUCACGACUCCUGGCAAGGCGCGCCGUCCCGCCCCCUUGCGCAGGCGCACGGCACGGCGCGCGUUCCCGCGUUCCCUCCGACGCGCGCCGGGACACAAAGGGCUGGAGGGAAAGCACGGAGCGCGGCUAGCACCUACGGAGCGGCUAGCGGUCCGGAGCGGCCUGGAGCGGACUACCGGGGCCGGAGCCGGGCUCGCCGGAACCGCGCGCUGGGGCGCCGGGUGGGGCGUUGGGCGGCGCUCCUUCCCCUCCCCUCGUCCUCCGUCAACGGCCGUAACGGCCUCGCGAGCUGGGGUGGGGCGGAGGGGGCCGGCAGGGCGCAGGCGCCGAACUCCCGGCCGCCGCGGGGAGGGCCUGGCGCCUCCAUUUUCCGUCGCGCGCCCUAAUGGCGGAAGUGGGUGCUUUUACCCGGGUGCGGAGGGAACGACUCGCCUCUGGGAAAGCCAGAGGCCUUCUCUCCAGAUUCUUUGCUCGGUCCGCGCGCUUCAGCGCGGGAGUUGA